This 460-nucleotide ribosomal RNA is filed under the name uncultured bacterium. RNAcentral describes it as "partial 16S ribosomal RNA". It matches the Rfam family "Bacterial small subunit ribosomal RNA", at positions 28 to 505 of the family's 1533-position model. The record is from RNAcentral.
GAUGAACGCUGACAGAAUGCUUAACACAUGCAAGUCUUUGGCGAAGCUGUGCUUGCACAGCCUAGCCAAGGCGGACGGGUGAGUAACGCGUAAGGAACUUGCCCUGCAGUCAGGGAUAACAGACGGAAACGACUGAUAAGACCUGGUAAAGUCAGGCGGACUCAUGUCCAGCCUGAUGAAAAGAGAUGCUGCAGGAGAGCCUUGCGUCCUAUUAGCUUGUUGGUGGGGUAACGGCCCACCAAGGCGAUGAUAGGUAGCCGGCCUGAGAGGGUGGACGGCCACAAGGGGACUGAGAUACGGCCCUUACUCCUACGGGAGGCAGCAGUGGGGAAUAUUGGACAAUGGGGGCAACCCUGAUCCAGCAAUUCUGUGUGCACGAUGAAGGUUUUCGGAUUGUAAAGUGCUUUCAGCAGGGAAGAAAAAAUGACGGUACCUGCAGAAGAGGCGACGGCUAAAUACG